AGAGUUUGAUCAUGGCUCAGAUUGAACGCUGGCGGCAGGCCUAACACAUGCAAGUCGAGCGGUAGAGAGAAGCUUGCUUCUCUUGAGAGCGGCGAACGGGUGAGUAAUGCCUAGGAAUCUGCCUGGUAGUGGGGGAUAACGUUCGGAAACGGACGCUAAUACCGCAUACGUCCUACGGGAGAAAGCAGGGGACCUUCGGGCCUUGCGCUAUCAGAUGAGCCUAGGUCGGAUUAGCUAGUUGGUGAGGUAAUGGCUCACCAAGGCGACGAUCCGUAACUGGUCUGAGAGGAUGAUCAGUCACACUGGAACUGAGACACGGUCCAGACUCCUACGGGAGGCAGCAGUGGGGAAUAUUGGACAAUGGGCGAAAGCCUGAUCCAGCCAUGCCGCGUGUGUGAAGAAGGUCUUCGGAUUGUAAAGCACUUUAAAUUGGGAGGAAGGGCAUUAACCUAAUACGUUAGUGUUUUGACGUUACCGACAGAAUAAGCACCGGCUAACUC
This 500-nucleotide ribosomal RNA is filed under the name Pseudomonas sp. RNAcentral's name for it is "bacterial SSU rRNA". It matches the Rfam family "Bacterial small subunit ribosomal RNA", at positions 8 to 503 of the family's 1533-position model. Lineage: Bacteria; Pseudomonadati; Pseudomonadota; Gammaproteobacteria; Pseudomonadales; Pseudomonadaceae. The record is from RNAcentral.